Molecule: long non-coding RNA, 396 nt
Filed under: Lactuca sativa (garden lettuce)
Lineage: Eukaryota; Viridiplantae; Streptophyta; Magnoliopsida; Asterales; Asteraceae
Description: long non-coding RNA (LSAT_LNC007763)
Source: RNAcentral
UAGCGAACAGUAGGUUCCAGGAAUGGUUAAUCCCGUAACUAACUCUACAUCAUGAUAAGCGAACUAGAUAACCUAAUGAACAUCCGAAGAUUGUCCAAUUAACCUCUGUAGCGAACAGUAGGUUCCAGGAAUGGUUAAUCCCGUAACUGACUUCUGUUGAACUAGGUUGGGCUGGGUGAUUUACUGAAAAUACUAAUAAAUCAUCUCCACGAAUCGAGUUUCAAGUAUUCCUAUAAGUAUACACAGGUAAUUGUAUCUACGUAAAGGUAUUCAUGUAAUGUGUUCAUGUAAGCGUAUUCAUGUAUCAUGUAAGCAUAUGUAAAGGUACUCAUGUAUCAGGUAAUGUACUCGUAAAGACUCAUGAAUGAACUGACUCUUGUGUGAUUCCUUGUAAUA